RNAcentral lists this ribosomal RNA (38 nucleotides) under Fusarium acuminatum. Its description in RNAcentral is "partial 18S ribosomal RNA". Lineage: Eukaryota; Fungi; Ascomycota; Sordariomycetes; Hypocreales; Nectriaceae. RNAcentral also lists the same sequence under 132 other names. The record is from RNAcentral.
AACAAGGUCUCCGUUGGUGAACCAGCGGAGGGAUCAUU